AACGAACGCUGGCGGCAUGCCUAACACAUGCAAGUCGAACGAGACCUGGGGUCUAGUGGCGCACGGGUGCGUAACGCGUGGGAACCUGCCCUUAGGUUCGGAAUAACUCCCCGAAAGGGGUGCUAAUACCGGAUAAUGUCUUCGGACCAAAGAUUUAUCGCCUUUGGAUGGGCCCGCGUUGGAUUAGCUAGUUGGUAGGGUAAAAGCCUACCAAGGCGACGAUCCAUAGCUGGUCUGAGAGGAUGAUCAGCCACACUGGGACUGAGACACGGCCCAGACUCCUACGGGAGGCAGCAGUGGGGAAUAUUGGACAAUGGGCGAAAGCCUGAUCCAGCAAUGCCGCGUGAGUGAUGAAGGCCUUAGGGUUGUAAAGCUCUUUUACCCGGGAUGAUAAUGACAGUACCGGGAGAAUAAGCUCCGGCUAACUCCGUG
Molecule: ribosomal RNA, 432 nt
Filed under: uncultured bacterium
Lineage: Bacteria
Description: partial 16S ribosomal RNA
Rfam family: Bacterial small subunit ribosomal RNA
Source: RNAcentral